CUGGGAGGCUCUCCUUGAUUUUACGUUAUUGGGCUUCUCACGAUUUUAAAUAAGACGUACGAAAUACGAGAACUGCCGGUGUGAAAGUAGUGGGGCGGAUCUACAAUAAUUACGUGCACAUGGCGUUGAGCUCUCCCAAGAAGAAUUUGCUAAUGAAUUCAGUGUGCGGAAUAAACGGUAGACCGACAGAUAAACUAUAUAGGAAUUAUGUCCAAUGGGAUAUAUAGUUUAAAACCGGUCCACUCUGAAGAACAUGGAAGCUGAACUUUAAGAUCAUUUUGACAUCACCAUGGUGACAGUCCCCAGCUGCUCUGUACCCUUCCUACACAAAAAUUGGGGAACCAUUUUACAAUUUAACAGCUAAGGUCCAGCUCCAAAGGGACCACUGGUCAAGGUCAUCUGUAGAAGGCUGAGUCAAGGUCAACUGAAGAAAUAAAUUUUUGAGAAAGUAGCUCUGUAUCAAGUGACCGUUAUAAGACUUUUUAAGCAGCAUGGGAGACGGUCUCUUUUCCUUGAUGACCUGCUGUGUAGGAGAACAACCACAGCCCACUAGAUCUACAGUUGUGCUGCUAAAGUACACCUAUAGAUAAGAAUUUUUUUCAAACUGUAACUGAUAUUUACAAGAUAUAGAAGAGUUACUCUGUCAUUUUCACUUUUGAAUUAAAGUGUUCAAUUCAUGCAAAAUAUUACAAAGAUGUUUGUAUU
Ostrea edulis (European flat oyster) is the source of this 705-nucleotide long non-coding RNA. RefSeq lists it as uncharacterized. The transcript is spliced from 3 exons. The record is from RefSeq and is a predicted model, not a curated record. Lineage: Eukaryota; Metazoa; Mollusca; Bivalvia; Ostreida; Ostreidae.